RNAcentral lists this ribosomal RNA (120 nucleotides) under Scophthalmus maximus (turbot). Lineage: Eukaryota; Metazoa; Chordata; Actinopteri; Pleuronectiformes; Scophthalmidae. The record is from RNAcentral.
GCUUACGGCCACACCGCCUGGUUAAUGCCCGAUCUCGUUUGAUCUCGGAAGCUAGGAUAGGUUGGGCCUGGUUAGUACUUGGAUGGGGAGACCGCCUGGGAUUACCAGGUGCUGUAAGCU